GACGGACGCUGGCGGCGUGCUUAACACAUGCAAGUCGAACGGAAAGGCCCUGCUUUUGUGGGGUGCUCGAGUGGCGAACGGGUGAGUAAAACGUGAGUAACCUGCCCUUGACUUUGGGAUAACUUCAGGAAACUGGGGCUAAUACCGGAUAGGAGCUCCUGCUGCAUGGUGGGGGUUGGAAAGUUUCGGCGGUUGGGGAUGGACUCGCGGCUUAUCCGCUUGUUGGUGGGGUAGUGGCUUACCAAGGCUUUGACGGGUAGCCGGCCUGAGAGGGUGACCGGCCACAUUGGGACUGAGAUACGGCCCAGACUCCUACGGGAGGCAGCAGUGGGGAAUAUUGCACAAUGGGCGGAAGCCUGAUGCAGCAACGCCGCGUGCGGGAUGACGGCCUUCGGGUUGUAAACCGCUUUCGCCUGUGACGAAGUGUGAGUGACGGUAAUGGGUAAAGAAGCACCGGCUAACUACGUG
RNAcentral lists this ribosomal RNA (468 nucleotides) under uncultured bacterium. Its description in RNAcentral is "partial 16S ribosomal RNA". It matches the Rfam family "Bacterial small subunit ribosomal RNA", at positions 28 to 507 of the family's 1533-position model. The record is from RNAcentral.